RNAcentral lists this ribosomal RNA (560 nucleotides) under uncultured bacterium. RNAcentral describes it as "bacterial SSU rRNA". It matches the Rfam family "Bacterial small subunit ribosomal RNA", at positions 340 to 917 of the family's 1533-position model. The record is from RNAcentral.
UACGGGAGGCAGCAGUGGGGAAUAUUGCACAAUGGGGGAAACCCUGAUGCAGCGACGCCGCGUGAGCGAAGAAGUAUUUCGGUAUGUAAAGCUCUAUCAGCAGGGAAGAAAAUGACGGUACCUGACUAAGAAGCCCCGGCUAACUACGUGCCAGCAGCCGCGGUAAUACGUAGGGGGCAAGCGUUAUCCGGAUUUACUGGGUGUAAAGGGAGCGUAGACGGAGCAGCAAGUCUGAUGUGAAAACCCGGGGCUCAACCCCGGGACUGCAUUGGAAACUGUUGAUCUGGAGUGCCGGAGAGGUAAGCGGAAUUCCUAGUGUAGCGGUGAAAUGCGUAGAUAUUAGGAGGAACACCAGUGGCGAAGGCGGCUUACUGGACGGUAACUGACGUUGAGGCUCGAAAGCGUGGGGAGCAAACAGGAUUAGAUACCCUGGUAGUCCACGCCGUAAACGAUGACUACUAGGUGUCGGGUGGCAAAGCCAUUCGGUGCCGCAGCCAACGCAAUAAGUAGUCCACCUGGGGAGUACGUUCGCAAGAAUGAAACUCAAAGGAAUUGACGGA